Long non-coding RNA from Pezoporus occidentalis (night parrot), 3701 nucleotides. RefSeq lists it as uncharacterized. The record is from RefSeq and is a predicted model, not a curated record. Lineage: Eukaryota; Metazoa; Chordata; Aves; Psittaciformes; Psittacidae. The transcript has 3 exons.
GGACACUAGCAAGAAGUUUGCCUGACCCUCCUUUAUCACUCACUUUGAGGAUGCUGUUUGCCUUACGUAAACAUCGUGAUCUGAGUAGCUUCAAGAGGAAGGCAGUCUUAAACCAGAGCCUAAUGGCAGACUCGCGGUCAACUCCAGAGUGUUACUAAGCUCUGAGGUAGGAAAUGGGAUGGAGUUCUGCCCCCAUGUACUCCUCAUGGGGCCCUGAAAAAGUAGACAGAGCUUUACAAGGCAGGCUGUGGGAUCUGGGGUUUAGUAGGGCUAGAUGGUUUUUUAAACACUGUUUGCUUCCUGCUUACUAGGAAUUUAAGACAGCACUGCUUAAGAAGUCUUGAUGCUUAGAUCUUAAACAAUUCAGCUCAUUCCAGCGGUAUAAUGCUGAAGUCACCAUUAAGAAACAGCCUUUCAUCUGUGGGUGUCAUUAAACUACAUGUAGAUUCACAGACUGGUUUGGGUUGGAAGGUAUCAUAAGGGUCAUCUAGUUCCAACCCCCUGUCACGGGCAGGGACACCUUCCACUAAGUUUCAGUUUUUCUGUAGAUAAAUGAUUAAACUAAGGCUGUGGUAUUUACCCUGAGCCUGUCGAACAGUUAGGAUAGGAAGAGUCUUGGUCUUUUGAUAACACCAGGGCAGUGCUUCAAAUUACUGGUUCAGUUUGCUCCUGAAAAGUGCUGGUUUUACCACUGGCUUUCAGUUAGUGUUACAUGCCUUAAGUAUUUACAUACUUACAUAAUAAUUAGCACUUGAAGUUAAAAAAUACGUGAUGUUUCAGGUUACUGCUGUCCCUCUCCCCCUGACAUCAGCAUUUGACUCCCUACCCUGAAGCUUUGUAUCACAUCAGUUACUUUAAAAAAUGAGGAAACACAGUGACAUUCUACCAUGUAGAUACCUGACAAGUGUCCUUAGAGCAGAGUUAAUGUGUUUGAACCUAAGGGAUCACUCCAGUGCUGAUUCAAUCUCAGUUUUAACAACGUAAGUCCCAUAUGUUUGAUUUAUAGUAUGUUGAUAGUAUUUUUUCCUUCUCCUUCUGCUAUUAAUUGACCAUGGUACUUAACUGGAGAGGGACAGAGGGAAUACGUGUUUUGUGGCAAGAGGCACCAAAGCUGUUGUACUCUGCCAGCAUUAUUUGCACUGCAAGAGGCUGCAGAGCUUAUCUGCAUCAACAUCUGCCACAGCAGGUUCCAUCCCACAAAAAUCUGAUAAUCCUUCUUUAUCCUGAUAACAUUAGCUUUUCACCACAUUGCAAGGCUGAGGGAUGAGGUACAUUAGUCUGCUCUGGUGCUGGAAUUCAGAAACUUCUGGUUUUGUAUUUAGAAGUGCAUGUGGAGUCUGAAGCCUGAGGAGCAUGUGCUUUCUACACAAACGUCAUUCAAGGUUGGCAGCUGAGACACAGCAACCUUGGCUACAAUAAGGAGAUCUCCAAGUGGAGCACAACUCUCAACUUUUCCUGUCAGACUUCUCUACAAUCUGUGCUAUCAAUUGGACACUGCAGUAAUGCUUCUUCAGAGUUUGAUUUGGGCUAAAAGUUACCCUGAGCUUGAAAACUCAGCAGCAGCCACGUGGCCCUUGAACUGGUAUAACUAUGAAUGCAGCUAUGGUGGAGGCUGUGGAGCCUGCUCGCAUCGCUGCUCCUUCUGUGCAGUGGGGGGUAUUCAGGAAACCAAGCAACCCUCGAGGAGCAGUAGAGUGUGAUAUUCCCCCUUUCUCCUCAUGGCUGCCUGAAACAUCCCAAAGCAAAGCAGAGCAGCCCCUGGGAGACUGGAAAUCUGGGAGAGGAGCAUCGCCUGUUCCCUCACAGAAGCAGUGCUCUUCAACUCACUGAGCCUUUCUCUAUCUAGAGACGAAAUGGGCAGCAAACGGGAAGAGAAUUCUGUUUUCUUGCAUUCAUUCAGCUUGGGAAACAGACUUCCCCAGACUGCUGGACAGCCCAGAGGGAAAUCAAGGGGACCAGAAGGGACCUCAUCAGGGUACCGCACAGAGAAGGGUGAAGCAAUGUCUGGCUGAGGAAGGAUCCCUCCAUGCCAGCACUAAGGGCACUGGCUGCACCCCCACCCUUGCUGGUCCUCAUUCUGCCAAAGCUUGUGAAGCCAGAGCUCAAGAGCCACCGGCACAGCAAAGACCACAAGGGCAUUUCUGCAGGUGCCAGAGGUGCCCAGCUGGAAAGCUUCCCAAAUCGGCACCGGGAUGUGCCACGCUGCAGCUGUCCAUGCUCCUCCCUGCGGACCCACUGCUGGCUGCAAGCGGACACAGCACAGUCCUCUCCCUGCCUACAGCCCUUCAAGAGAGCUUCAUGGACUGCUGGGCUCUGGAGUCCCACCAGCGGUGGCUCUGCAGGGAAAAGCAGCAAGGGCUCUUCAGCCACGUCUCCCCUUGCCGCUCCCUUCUGCCAGGUCAUGAAUGCCACACUGCGAUGUCACUGCCUUGCAGCCAGGGCACCACAGUGGUGUUUGAGAAUGUCCCCUGGGAACCUGCAGUUGGCACCACUUGGUGCAGUCAACCCUCGGCUGGUGUGUGACAGGACGAGUCCUGGCUCGCCAGAGCAACGGCUGCAGAAGUCAAGCCCAAAUGAGAGCAGAGUUUCACCAGCAUCUCCAGUUGUCCCGUCCUCUUUGGACAGUGAAAAACACUGUUCCAUAGCUCUGCACCUUUAACAUUCCCACUUGUCACUUAGUGCUCUUAAGUAAGAUAGACGUUCCAGCACGUGUCAUGGUAGCACCAAGAGGUCAGCAAAGGCUGAGCUCCUGUUGGCACUACACAGAAGAGCAGCCAGACACCGCUUUCUCUCUCUGAGGAUGAGAUGUUGGAAGAGAAAUCGAUCCAUGCAGCCGAUCAGUGGUGGGCAGUGGGCUGCACUGACUCUCCAGUUCUGUGUGCCUCCAACUGGCUGGGAAAUACAAAGUACUGCUGUGCCCUCAGGCAGUCAAAUUCACUGCAGAAAGGCCUAGCUUUAGUAAUUCUACAAGCUGUUCAGGGAGGAGAGGGAAGCUGCCAGGGGAGAUGGUUAAGUGGAUGCCACAGAAUUAGUGCUGGUUGAAACCAGGGCCGCUCUGACUUUCUGCAAACAGAUGUAUCUUUCCGUUCAGCAUGCAAAGGCAGCAAAUGCAACAGAUACAAGUUUUGUUCUGUGGUGUGCCCUCGUCACGUUGAUCUGCUCUUCCUCUCUGCAGGAAUUGUGUGGAAAGGAGAGCAGACGGCCACCCUGCAUCUUCAGGAGGUGCAAGGCCACUGGGAGUGCAAAGCUUUAGAAGGACCAGAGGAUUGCGUGCUUCCCUGUGCUGACCAAACUUGGUGCUUUUGUGUGCUUUGGUGCAACUAGAAAGGUCAGUGUCCUGCUGCCCACUCUGUUAAGUGUGGAUCCUUUUGGCUCCUCCCAUGUAACACUGUGUGGAAAAUCAACACCCUUCAGUAGGGGCAGACCGAUACCCUUCUCUAAUGCACAGAGUGAGGGCCCAAACUGCAUAUUUUGAGAUAAAGAUUUUUAACAAGAUUAUAGACUUAAACGUUAAGGCCAAACGUGGCCCAGCCAAAUGAUCAGUACUGUUUGGGAAGCAGCCUAAUGGAGAGAGAGGAAGAACCCAAAGCUCACUCCUUUGGCACUGUUGUGGUUCAUUAGAUGGCUGGUGCUGGACUGUACAGCAUCACCCGCCCCAGCCAGGCCUGCCCCUGCCCCAGUGCCUGUGUGGCAAUGCCCCU